This 223-nucleotide ribosomal RNA is filed under the name Rhodanobacter sp. Its description in RNAcentral is "partial 23S ribosomal RNA". It matches the Rfam family "Bacterial large subunit ribosomal RNA", at positions 2703 to 2925 of the family's 2925-position model. The record is from RNAcentral. Lineage: Bacteria; Pseudomonadati; Pseudomonadota; Gammaproteobacteria; Lysobacterales; Rhodanobacteraceae.
GAACCUCUGGUGUUCCGGUUGUCACGCCAGUGGCACUGCCGGGUAGCUAUGUUCGGAAGCGAUAACCGCUGAAAGCAUCUAAGCGGGAAGCGCGCCUCAAGAUGAGAUCUCCCGGGACACAAGUCCCCUGAAGGAACCAUGAAGACUACGUGGUUGAUAGGUCAGGUGUGUAUCGCAGUAAUGCCGAGCUAACUGAUACUAAUGAUCCGUGCGGCUUGACCAU